Molecule: long non-coding RNA, 568 nt
Filed under: Selaginella moellendorffii
Lineage: Eukaryota; Viridiplantae; Streptophyta; Lycopodiopsida; Selaginellales; Selaginellaceae
Description: long non-coding RNA (SMOE_LNC001441)
Source: RNAcentral
AGGUUCCUGCACUCGUAUCAGGCCUGCUGCCAAAAUUCUAUGGCAGUACUGCUUUUCGCGGAGUGCCAGAGCAUGCUUUUGCUUUUUUGUGUACCGUUUCGGUGCUUGAUGCUCUUUCUCGCCAGCACUGACUGUUACAAAAGCUACAGUGGAUUUCUAUUCGGUACAUUAUCAAGUAGAGGGGUUCUUACAUUGAAAAGUUUUGCUUCAGCAUACGGUAUUUACAGAUUUCUUCGUGGUUUAAGCCUUUCCACAGCACAGAAAACUUGGACAUCGAAGAAACUAAGCAAAGACAGCGAAUUUUACCAGUAAGCAUCUAAGCUUGUCCUCACGUCUAACUUGUUGUGAAGCAGGACUUUCUCUCCAUCUCCUCAGAAGCCUCAUCGCCUUCUAAACGGCAAAGCUUUCUUCAUCGUCUUCUAAACGGCCAAGGAAAAACUCUGGAAGAACCUCUUGAAGACGACGACGAUGGCGAUGGCGCUGCCGAGGGGACCGGAUUCCUCCCAACGUCAUACCGGCAAACCGGGCACGUCCCAUGGAGAGCCAGCCAGGGAAGUAUACAGUCCUG